This 520-nucleotide ribosomal RNA is filed under the name uncultured Glomus. RNAcentral's name for it is "SSU rRNA". It matches the Rfam family "Eukaryotic small subunit ribosomal RNA", at positions 569 to 1089 of the family's 1831-position model. The record is from RNAcentral. Lineage: Eukaryota; Fungi; Glomeromycota; Glomeromycetes; Glomerales; Glomeraceae.
AGCAGCCGCGGUAAUUCCAGCUCCAAUAGCGUAUAUUAAAGUUGUUGCAGUUAAAAAGCUCGUAGUUGAAUUUCGGGGUUAGUAGGUUGGUCAUGCCUCUGGUAUGUACUGGUCUCACUGAUUCCUCCUUCCUGAUGAUCCGUAAUGCCAUUUAUUUGGUGUUGCGGGGAAUUUGGACUGUUACUUUGAAAAAAUUAGAGUGUUUAAAGCAAGCUAACGCUUGAAUACAUUAGCAUGGAAUAAUGAAAUAGGACGUUCGAUCCCAUUUUGUUGGUUUCUAGGAUCGACGUAAUGAUUAAUAGGGAUAGUUGGGGGCAUUAGUAUUCAAUUGUCAGAGGUGAAAUUCUUGGAUUUAUUGAAGACUAACUACUGCGAAAGCAUUUGCCUAAGGAUGUUUUCAUUAAUCAAGAACGAAAGUUAGGGGAUCGAAGACGAUCAGAUACCGUCGUAGUCUUAACCAUAAACUAUGACCGACUAGGGAUCGGAUGAUGUUAAUUUUUAAUGACUCAUUCGGCGUCCG